Molecule: ribosomal RNA, 561 nt
Filed under: uncultured bacterium
Lineage: Bacteria
Description: bacterial SSU rRNA
Rfam family: Bacterial small subunit ribosomal RNA
Source: RNAcentral
AACGAACGCUGGCGGCAGGCCUAACACAUGCAAGUCGAACGCACCCUUCGGGGUGAGUGGCAGACGGGUGAGUAACGCGUGGGAACCUACCUAGUGGUACGGAAUAGCCCAGGGAAACUUGGGGUAAUACCGUAUGAGCCCUUCGGGGGAAAGAUUUAUCGCCAUUAGAUGGGCCCGCGUCUGAUUAGCUAGUUGGUGGGGUAAAAGCCUACCAAGGCAACGAUCAGUAGCUGGUCUGAGAGGAUGAUCAGCCACACUGGGACUGAGACACGGCCCAGACUCCUACGGGAGGCAGCAGUGGGGAAUAUUGGACAAUGGGGGAAACCCUGAUCCAGCCAUGCCGCGUGAGUGACGAAGGCCUUAGGGUUGUAAAGCUCUUUUGGCGGGGAAGAUAAUGACGGUACCCGCAGAAUAAGCUCCGGCUAACUACGUGCCAGCAGCCGCGGUAAUACGUAGGGGGCAAGCGUUGUCCGGAAUCAUUGGGCGUAAAGCGCGCGUAGGCGGCUCUGUAAGUCCGUUGUGAAAGUCGAAGGCUCAACCUUCGAAAGCCGAUGGAUACUG